This 1939-nucleotide unclassified non-coding RNA is filed under the name Hevea brasiliensis (rubber tree). The record is from RNAcentral. Lineage: Eukaryota; Viridiplantae; Streptophyta; Magnoliopsida; Malpighiales; Euphorbiaceae.
UGGAAGGUAACUGUAACAGAAAGGAGAUUAGAAUUUGCAAGUAUAAAGGGCAACGGAGUUGAGUUUUUUUUUUUUUUAUCAACAAAAUCAAUUACAAGACUAUGCUGAUGAAAGAUAUCAGCUUAAUCUUCUGAAGCAAAAUUUAUGUACAAGUCUUGUAUGAUCGAUCACAAAGUUGGCUGUAUCUUUCUGGACCGCAUGUAUUCCAACAACUGAGAAGGUAAUUCUGCUAAAAGUGAUUGAACGACUGAGACAUCUCCAUUUUGUACAUCACGGAGGGGAACAAAUUGUACUAUAUCACGAACAGCAACACGUCCAGUUGUAGAUUCUAGUCUCUCUCCUUUAUCAGCAUCCAGUAUCUCCAUUUCCUUAAAGUCUGCACCUCCAACCCCAACAAUUAGAAUUGACAAUGGCAAAUCCGCUGCUUGAACAAGAGCAUCCUUCGUUUCUUGGAGAUCUGUUAUUACUCCAUCCGUGAUAAUUAGUAAAACGAAAUACUUCCGCUCAUUGUUCGUCAAAGACUGACUUGCUAUAUGUGCAGCAGAAGUAAUAACGGGUCCAAAUAAAGUUGGACCUGCAAGUGAAACAUUAUGAAGGGCACUAAUGUAUGCCAUCAUGAUACCCUGGAUUCCUUCCACCUCACAGUAAGUACUGCUACCGUUUAAGUUGAAGCAAUGAGAAACUGGGCCAUCAAUUGGCCGUGCUCCAAACCCCCAAGCAGGAAAACGUUUGUCUGAAUCAUAAAACUGCAAUACCUCCCCAACAUCCAGGAUUGCUCUCUGAUAAGCAUUUGGUCGUCCUGAAGGGUCAAUAUAAUGUAAUGAAUCAGGGAGCCGUGGAUUUCCAUUGGAAGCAGUAAAGUCAAUGGCCACCAUGAAGUUGAGUUCAUAGCCAAACGCCAAGUAAUCAAGGAAUGUAUACUGUAUUUUCUCAGAAUAGCUUUCCACGAAAAGUUGGCUCUUUAGAACCUUGUUUUCUUGUUUUGGUCCCAUAGCAGUUGGUAUAAAAAGAUUUGCACCAGUACCCGCAGAAUGCAACUUUUCUAAAUCUAAUAGUGACUUCUGAAUCUUUCCAAUUAAACUAUGCUUGCCAUUGCUAUUGAAGUCAUAACACUCGAUAAUUAGUGGGUUCUCCUUACUUCCAAUUUGUUGAAUUUUCAAGAACACCGGUUUCCAGGUGGGUGAAUGAUCAUUUUUCAUCACUUCUGUUUUGCAAAUUGGAACGACAAUUCCACUUUCAGUAGUUUUGGAUACCACCAGAAAUGGAUCACUUUUUGAAAACAAAUCUUUCGAUUCCAAUUCUGAACAUCUUAAUUUCAACUCGACUGUAGUUUUUGAGCUGAUACUUUCUUCAGCAAAAAUUGUAAGCUUGCCAAACUUCCGUGCAUGUGCUUGACCAGAAAAUUGUUCGCCACAUACAAGGUCCAUGGUCAGGGAUCUGUCAGAUUUUGUGACAAUCUGAGCCAAUGUGCAACUGGCCUCACCAAGAAAGUCCUGCUCCUCCAGUUUAAGCAUCUUGACACCUUGAUUAUGAAAUUGAGUGUCAAUAUCAUACACACGGAACACCAAAUUCUGCACCGUCUCAAAAUAAUAAGCCAUAGUAUAUUUUGUAAUCCACUUUGGGUUCAAUGAGUUCAGAACUACUUCAGUACGGGUAAGCUCUUUCAAUGAACCAUCUUUUUCUUUUGAAUAAAGAACUGCCAUAGGGUCACUCUUGGAAAGCACAUCACGAUCACGUAAGCUGGUAGCAGAUAGAGACAACUCGAUCUGAGAGUAGAGGCCUUGGUAACCACGAGACUUAAGGAAAGCAUCGACGGCUUCGUUAGGGGCAUUUGGUUGAUUUCCUUGGUUAACUCCGGUACCGCCGACUGCCGUCUGUCCACCGGCAACAUCAGAGCAGCAAUUUCCCAUGGCCGCAACUCAGAAGAUAACUGUCACUG